AUUCUCUAGUGGGAGUUAUGUAAGUAAUUUUUUGAUCUAAGAUCACUAUGGUAUCUUGUGUAUAUGAAUCCAAGUUUUGAUUUACUUCCUAACUUCAUUCUCUGAUUCUUAUGUGGGGUGUUCUGGAUGUGGUGAAGUGUGCAUGGAGGUUGUGAGUGAUCAAUAAGAGAUUAGUGACUCUUAAUAAGGAAAGCGAACAUCCUAUGUGAUCUCAUAGAUUAAUGAUUCUGAAAGUCUUUGGCCAAAGCAGGAUGAUAAUUAGAAAGAGAUUUUUAAUGUAUCAUCAACUGAAUCAUCACCUUCUGAUCGAGAUACAUAUAGAUAAGUAAUUGAGUUUGACAUGAUUCCAUAUCCAUAACUCAUCUGGGAUGUUGUUUGACUGAAAGAUUGAAUUAUACGAUAAUUUAUCACUGAAAAGUAUUUUGAUAAUUUCUACUAAAAUUUUAAAUCUUCUGGAUAGUCAUAAUAUAUUGCUAGAUAUCAAUCUUGACUUGUAGACUAAUCAAAAUUAAAAAAAAUUUAAUUCAAAAAUUAAUUAGAAAGAGUCCUAGUUGAUUGGGACACUUGAGCCGACUUAAUCUGAUUGGAUUAUGUUAGGUCAAGAGUUUAUGUCCACUGCUGGCUAGAUUUGGAACUCAAUAGGUCACACACAUUGAGAUUUGAUCUCAGUCUAAUUUAAUUAAAAUUUAAUGUAAAUCUUAGGAGUUAAUUUGAUAUGCUAGCACAUCGUGUUAGUUGAAAAAAGUGCAGGGUUUCAUGCAUGAUUUCAAAAUAAUUUUAAAAUAUAAUACAGCGAAAUAUAUAAAUUAAAUAAUUUAAUAUAUAAAUACAUGUAAUCAGAUUACUAAAUCCUAUAAUUAGGAUCUAUAACAUAUCAUAUUACAUUUAUAAAUCAAAAAAUAAAAGCUUUGGUAUUGAUCAAAUAAAUACCCUAGAUGUAAAACAGUUUUAGAUCUAAAACUUAGAUCACAUCUAGAUAAGAGAAGAGAUCAGAUCUCUUACCUUCAUGUAGGUCGAGAACUCUGUGGUUAAUUUUUUUUGUUGUCUUUAGAGCCGCACACGCGUUCGGCCUCUAUAGGUGAUCCACACGAGGCUACAAUAAAAUCGGACGUUCGUCGAACGAAGAUCCGCUCGAAGUGCUAGCUUCUUGUAGAUCCCUCCGAAUAGUUAAUCUAAAAAAUAUUCUUUGAAUCUCUUGGACAUUCCAUGAGAUGAAGAAUAUGAGGAGGAAUGAGGAAGAAGUCAAACCUUUUGACCUUCCUAAAAUCAGAAAUAAUAAUAUAAAAGAAAAGGUCCUAAGAGAAGACAGAUCUUCUCUUACCUUUCUCUCUACAAGAUAUCAACCUUUGAUCUUUUAAUUGAAGACUCUCCUCUAAGGAUAAUAAUACUGCCUCAAACCACCCAUGCCAUCCUCUUUCUCCUUUGUUAUUUCUAUCUUAAAGUCACAAAUUUUUGACUCUUAUUUGAUAGCAUAUGGGGCGGCAACUUUUUAUAUGGCAAAUUAGGUCAAAAGACCUAAUCAACAAGGAGUCCAUGGGGCGUCCAACUCUUGGAUGCCCCCUCCCUUAUAAAUUUCAUAGAGAUCAGGAUAAGAUGCUUAAAAGGGGUGACAAAAUUAUAGGAUAGGCUUGGGAAAAGUUGGCGCAAGAGAGGAGGGAAGAGUCCUUGUGAAGAAGGACUCUUUCAAAAAAAAAUAAGCCUAAACCACUUUCCACAUUGAACCAAAUCAAAUCUGAUUCAAAUCUCUAGAAUAAGUGGUGUGAGAUAACAUUCCUUAGACAUGGAUAUCAUAAAAAAAUAUUUAAAAAUUAAUUAGUGGGCGUGGGCUUGAGAUUUCUUAGGUGGCA
RNAcentral lists this long non-coding RNA (1847 nucleotides) under Elaeis guineensis (African oil palm). RNAcentral's name for it is "long non-coding RNA (EGUI_LNC076575)". The record is from RNAcentral. Lineage: Eukaryota; Viridiplantae; Streptophyta; Magnoliopsida; Arecales; Arecaceae.